CUCUUNGNGUAGGUCUGCUCAAGGAAAAAUUAAAUAGCCGCAACCCGUGCUAAGGUAGCAUAAUCAUUUGUCUUUUAAAUAAGGACUAGAACAAAAGAUUUUACAUUUUAAUCUAUUUUCCAUAUAUAAGAUUUCAAAUUUUUCUUAAAUGUAAAAGGACAUUUAUUACUAAGAAAGACGAUAAGACCCUAUUGAACUUAACUUCAGUUAAACUGGGGCAGUUAAUCAAUUAAUAUUUUCAAGAAAAUACAAAAUAUAUUAUCCAAUAUAAUUGAAUAAUUCAGUUACCAUAGGGAUAACAGCGUAAUUAUAUUUUAAAGCUCUCAUUUACAAUAUAGAUUGCAACCUCGAUGUUGAAUUAAUAACCUAAAUAAGGCAAGACUUAAUUAAAGGAGGUCUGUUCGACCUUUAAAAAAUUACAUGAUCUGAGUCAAAACCGGAGA
This 443-nucleotide ribosomal RNA is filed under the name Plexippus setipes. RNAcentral describes it as "partial 16S ribosomal RNA". The stretch from base 295 to 443 matches the Rfam family "Archaeal large subunit ribosomal RNA", at positions 2542 to 2691 of the family's 2987-position model. Lineage: Eukaryota; Metazoa; Arthropoda; Arachnida; Araneae; Salticidae. The record is from RNAcentral.